CUACGGAGGGUGCAAGCGUUACUCGGAAUCACUGGGCGUAAAGCGCGCGCAGGCGGGCUGAUAAGUUGGAUGUGAAAGCCUACGGCUCAACCGUAGAAUUGCAUCCAAAACUGUCAGUCUAGAGUCUGGGAGGGGAAGAUGGAAUUAGUUGUGUAGGGGUAAAAUCCGUAGAGAUAACUAGGAAUACCAAAAGCGAAGGAGAUCUGCUGGAACAGUACUGACGCUGAGGCGCGAAAGCGUGGGGAGCAAACAGGAUUAGAAACCCUAGUAGUCC
RNAcentral lists this ribosomal RNA (274 nucleotides) under uncultured bacterium. Its description in RNAcentral is "partial 16S ribosomal RNA". It matches the Rfam family "Bacterial small subunit ribosomal RNA", at positions 523 to 796 of the family's 1533-position model. The record is from RNAcentral.